This 465-nucleotide ribosomal RNA is filed under the name Vreelandella stevensii. RNAcentral describes it as "partial 16S ribosomal RNA". It matches the Rfam family "Bacterial small subunit ribosomal RNA", at positions 338 to 795 of the family's 1533-position model. The record is from RNAcentral. Lineage: Bacteria; Pseudomonadati; Pseudomonadota; Gammaproteobacteria; Oceanospirillales; Halomonadaceae.
CCUACGGGUGGCAGCAGUGGGGAAUAUUGGACAAUGGGGGCAACCCUGAUCCAGCCAUGCCGCGUGUGUGAAGAAGGCCCUCGGGUUGUAAAGCACUUUCAGUGAGGAAGAACGCCUGGUGGUUAAUACCCAUCAGGAAAGACAUCACUCACAGAAGAAGCACCGGCUAACUCCGUGCCAGCAGCCGCGGUAAUACGGAGGGUGCGAGCGUUAAUCGGAAUUACUGGGCGUAAAGCGCGCGUAGGUGGCUUGAUAAGCCGGUUGUGAAAGCCCCGGGCUCAACCUGGGAACGGCAUCCGGAACUGUCAAGCUAGAGUGCAGGAGAGGAAGGUAGAAUUCCCGGUGUAGCGGUGAAAUGCGUAGAGAUCGGGAGGAAUACCAGUGGCGAAGGCGGCCUUAUGGACUGACACUGACACGGAGGUGCGAAAGCGUGGGUAGCCAACAGGAUUAGAUACCCCAGUAGUC